GAGAAUGGCAGCCGGCGGUACUGUGCGAAUCAAAUCCGACUGGAUCCGACAGGGAAGACGGGGGUGGAGGUUGCUGCCAGCUUCGCGGGGUCGUGCUACAGCUAUAGACGCAAGGAAUCGACCAGAGGUUCACCGGGACGUGCGGAUUUUGCGGCGGACUGGCUCACGGUCGACCGCCGGUAUUUGGUGAAGACAAGCUCCACGGCGAGACAGAAUUAAUAUCCAGGACCAUGCGAUCCUUCUUCAGAGUGUGUGCAUCAGAACUACGCUUCUGCAUCUCAGAGCUUUCGCUGCUGCGGAACUGAACUACAUCUAAAUCAGGGCUUGUAGCGGAGUAAAGUUACAUGACUUCACUUCGCCUGCAGUCAGAGGAUCCUCGUCCUGUGAGCGUACAGUACAUCUGAUUCUUUACCAGUUUGCAUGAUAACCCCACAAUAUGAUGUAUCCGAACACAAGCAUAUGAUACACUAAAAAUUAGUUUACUAGUUGAAAUUUCAUCGGCAGAUGUCCAUCCAUUGUCCUAUUAUAAGGCCAAAAUUCCCGUCAAAUGGCAACAGAGGAAUCUACCUACCAUAGCGCACAGCCUUCUACUGAAAGUCUGAGACAUCAUGAUCUUCGACUGAUUUUUUUCUUCUUUUUUGGUUCUCAGCAAACAUAAGACCCUCGGUCACAUCGAUCGAGAGAUCCAAAAUCCAAAUACCAUCUAGAAACUCAACAAUCCAUCUCAUCGAUUGGAACAGCAUGGAAAUGACUGCCGAAAUAUGCGCAAAAAAAUGAGUACUCCUAGUCCUAGCUACUAUCCCUGCCCCAGCAGUUCACCGUUGAAUCUUUUCGACAGGACCCAGGCAUUAACCACUCAGCUACCAGCCUUCCUUGACCUCGUAGCCGAUCUGCUCAGACACUCCAACUCUGCAAAAAUUUCAAAUCACCUUUCCUUAGCAAAUGCUCAGCAAACAGACAAGAAAUUUGCACC
Phragmites australis (common reed) is the source of this 973-nucleotide long non-coding RNA. RefSeq lists it as uncharacterized. The record is from RefSeq and is a predicted model, not a curated record. The transcript is spliced from 3 exons. Lineage: Eukaryota; Viridiplantae; Streptophyta; Magnoliopsida; Poales; Poaceae.